GACGAACGCUGGCGGCGUGCCUAAUACAUGCAAGUAGAACGCUGAAGGAGGAGCUUGCUCUUCUGGAUGAGUUGCGAACGGGUGAGUAACGCGUAGGUAACCUGCCUGGUAGCGGUGGAUAACUAUUGGAAACGAUAGCUAAUACCGCAUAACAGUAGAUGUUGCAUGACAUUUGCUUAAAAGGUGCAAUUGCACCACUACCAGAUGGACCUGCGUUGUAUUAGCUAGUUGGUGGGGUAACGGCUCACCAAGGCGACGAUACAUAGCCGACCUGAGAGGGGGAUCGGCCACACUGGGACUGAGACACGGCCCAGACUCCUACGGGAGGCAGCAGUAGGGAAUCUUCGGCAAUGGACGGAAGUCUGACCGAGCAACGCCGCGUGAGUGAAGAAGGUUUUCGGAUCGUAAAGCUCUGUUGUAAGAGAAGAACGAGUGUGAGAGUGGAAAGUUCACACUGUGACGGUAUCUUACCAGAAAGGGACGGCUAACUACGUG
Molecule: ribosomal RNA, 495 nt
Filed under: uncultured bacterium
Lineage: Bacteria
Description: partial 16S ribosomal RNA
Rfam family: Bacterial small subunit ribosomal RNA
Source: RNAcentral